UUNAGUGGGGAAUAACUGUUGGAAACGACAGCUAAUACCGCAUAAUAUUGCUGGAUAAUUUCCAGUAAUGAAAGGAGCUUUCAAGCUCCGCUGAUUGAUGAGGAUGCGGCGCAUUGGCUAGUUGGUAGGGUAAUGGCCUACCAAGGCAAUGAUGCGUAGCCGAUCUGAGAGGAUGAACGGCCACAUUGGGACUGAGACACGGCCCAAACCUCUACGGAAGGCAGCAGUAGGGAAUUUUUCACAAUGGGCGAAAGCCUGAUGGAGCAAUGCCGCGUGACUGAUGAAGGUCUUCGGAUUGUAAAGGUCUGUUGUAAGGGAAGAAAUGGUAAAACAGGAAAUGGUUUUAUCUAUGACGGUACCUUACCAGAAAGCCACGGCUAACUAUGUGCCAGCAGCCGCGGUAAUACAUAGGUGGCAAGCGUUAUCCGGAUUUAUUGGGCGUAAAGGGUGCGUAGACGGUUUUGCAAGUCUGANGUUAAAUUUAGGAGCUCAACUCCUAAUCGCCUUGGAAACUACAAGACUAGAGUAUAGGAGAGGUUAGUGGAAUUCCAUGUGUAGCGGUGGAAUGUGUAGAUAUAUGGAGGAACACCAGUGGCGA
This 598-nucleotide ribosomal RNA is filed under the name uncultured Spiroplasma sp. RNAcentral describes it as "bacterial SSU rRNA". It matches the Rfam family "Bacterial small subunit ribosomal RNA", at positions 132 to 718 of the family's 1533-position model. Lineage: Bacteria; Bacillati; Mycoplasmatota; Mollicutes; Entomoplasmatales; Spiroplasmataceae. The record is from RNAcentral.